UUCGUGGGUUUCUUCUUCCCCCCCCCAAAAGAAGAAAAAAUGAUAAGAUACGUGUUAAAUACUGCUUUGAACAUUCUCCAGUGGACUCAGAUGGCCUUGAUGUUAAUUCGUCAGAUAUUGCCUGCGGACCCUCAACACCAACAAGAACUGGGUCCUCAACACCAACAGGGACUGGGUCCUCAACACCAACAGGGACUGGGUCCUCAACACCAACAGGGACUGGGUCUUCAACACCAACAGGAACUGGGUCUUCAACACCUCAGAACCAGCCAGCACGCCAACGAUCCACCAUAUCCUCUGGCGCAGAAUCAAACGUAUGAACACCAACGAAAUUUGAGUCACUAUCACCAUCACAUCAUUUCUAUUUGUUGA
This 372-nucleotide long non-coding RNA is filed under the name Neogobius melanostomus (round goby). Its description in RNAcentral is "lncRNA (ENSNMLG00000006588.1)". Lineage: Eukaryota; Metazoa; Chordata; Actinopteri; Gobiiformes; Gobiidae. The record is from RNAcentral.